RNAcentral lists this long non-coding RNA (2943 nucleotides) under Mytilus galloprovincialis (Mediterranean mussel). Lineage: Eukaryota; Metazoa; Mollusca; Bivalvia; Mytilida; Mytilidae. The record is from RNAcentral.
CUUGAAACGGAUGUUACUGUUCUCAACAAACAACUUCGUCAAUCGGAACUGGAAACCAGACCAGACAAUAAUUGCUCAUGCGCAAUCAUGGAGAGAAAUUUCUUACAAAUGGCUGAAAAUGCCUACAAAAACAUCCGCAGACAUGACACAUCUGCUGACGGAUUUGCACAGUUUCGCAAAGAAUUAACCGAAACUAAUAAGAUACUUAAGGACUCAUUAACAGUACUAAACAAUAUGAAAGAGUUUUGUGAACACCGUUCUGUCGUCGGGUUGACGUAAUACAUGUUUUUUUUUUACAUAUUUAUUUAUUGUUGAAAUCUAUUUAUUGUUAUACUAUUUAUUUAUUUAUAAAUCAAACUGCCCCUCACAACAAUGAGGAAUUCUCUGGGGUUUUAUUUAAACGAUGUUUUUGUAAGGAAAUAAGAAUAUUAUUUAUUAUUUUAUUUAAUUGCCACCAGGUGGCAGGCCGAAGAAUGUCUCGUGUCAAAAGAGAGUGUAGUAUAUAAGACAGCUAACUGUGAUACAUAAAAUCUUUUGUUUUUAACAUCACACAGAAUUCAGUUGCUAUUUUAGUAAAACCAAAAAUAAUUUUGAAAUAACAUUUAAAGUGUAUUUCAUUGAUAUAUUUGAACGAAACAGACGAUGCCUUCCGAACAAUAUAUCGAACAGCCGUCCAUAAGUCAUUUUCACCAGUCACUUUCAGAUAGAAAACGAUGUAUUUUUUAUUGUACAAAGUUUUUAAGCGCUAAGAGAUCAUUAUCUGUAACUUUUGUGUUCUUUACUUUAUGUGUUCCUUAAAUCUGAUCUGUACCCGAAGUACAAGUUCGAAUUAAGUGAUUUCAUAUUAAGUAAAAUAUCUAUGGACCAUGCAAUUACAAGCAGCUAAAAAUUUUAUAUCAGCAGGUUAAAAGUUAAUUUUAUUCAGAUAAUGAUCUUUCAUCGCUUUGUUAAACUGUCUGUAAGUGACUCUAGUGAUAUAUCUCAAUAUAUUAUUGUUAUUUUUUAAAUAUUUAUUUGAAAGUGUUCUUUAUACAAUGUGUUCAGAUACAAAGGUUCUGAAGAGAACUUUACUAGCCAUAGAAUGUUUAUGAACAUAAAAGUUUACAGUUUGACCAAAUUAACUGUCCAAAUGCAUUGUAAAUUAUUUUCGAAGAUUCCCUUCAUUAGUUCGGUUGCUUUAUUUAAUUUCCUUUAUCAGCUAUAUUUCAAAAUCUUAUAAAAAUUGUUCAACUCCUAAUUUCAUUCCAUUAGCAAAUCAAAAACAAAUGUUCCUGUUUCAUCUCAUGUAUAAUUCAAUUUUGACAAUUUGACUUUGGUACAAAGACUGCAAAUUAUAAACAUUCUAUGGCUUGACAAUUAUAUGUGUUCAAACAUUGUUUUAUUCAUAAUGAUAAACAACCGUCCUUGUUUACAAUUUCAUUCAUUAUACAUCAACAGAGUUUAACUCGAAAUUUGAACGAACAAAAAAUCCAUGUUAUUUAUUUUCACGAGUUUAACUCAAAAUAAAGUGGAAAACGUGUUACCAUGAAAACAUGUUAAUUAGUAUAUAUCUGUAUUUAGGUUAGUAUGUCACAUGAUCAUUUUCAUCUCAUAGUUACUUCAUGAUGGAUAAACGUUUAGAUAACACUCCAUUGUUAGAAUGUGUGGAAGAGCACUAACAUUUCUUACUUAAUUGUUCAUUACAUUCACUAUUUAUAACGUUAGAGAACUCUGUGUAUUUUACUUCUUUGCUGUGAGCUUGUUGUGGUUUGGUGUGAUUUGAUACAAUAGGCAAAGUAAAACGUCCUUGAUUUUUUUCACCAUUAGUAUAUUUAAUUAGAGAUAUACAGGUAGACACUGUCUUAAAGCAUUGUUAGCUCUUUUAAUUCUAAAAAUAGUUAUGUUUGUCAGUUAAUGUUGAUUCAGGGAAAAAAUUAAAAACGCAUCAACUAUUUUACAGUUAUGACAUUUUGACUUAUCAAAAUUCAUGUUUUAACAUGGCGACAUAUUAAAUUCAAGUUUGAUGAUAACAUAUUAAAUUAUAGUUUUCACAUGACGUCAUAUUAAAUGUUAGCUUCAACAAGCUGCCAUUUUUAAUUCAAGUUUGAAAAUGAAAUUGGGAACAAAUUAAAUUGCAGUACGAUAGGGUGAUAUUAAAUUCAAGUUUUUACAAGGCGACAUAUGACAUAUUAGCUUUGACAUGGUGACAUGUGACAUAUUAGCUUUGACAUGGCGACAUAUGAUAUAUUGUCCUGACAUGGUGAGAUAUUAAGGUUAUUUUACUUUACCGGUAUUGUAUUGUGUUGUGUGAUGAUAUUGACAAACAGUGAUACUUGAUAGAGUUUAUUUAAUUAUUUAUAGAUUAAUUUAUACUUAUUUAUUAAUUCCCACUUUUACAUUAGAAUAGAACACUAUUUCUUACACUAUCGUGGCAGAUAAGACAACAUCAAAACUGCACUUCCGGUUCAUUCAGUAAAAGCCUUACUCUACUUCCGGUUCUUUUAUCUGCUCCUUUUCUUUUUUUUGAUAAAUUACAAUUUUUUUGGAAUUUUAACAUCGAAGUUGUUUAAUGUACUUUAAUUUUACCUCUAGAUAUCUUUAGGUUGUUUUUGUACUUGGGGUGAUCUUAGAAAUUAAAAUAUAUUUAUUCUUUAUGAAAUCUUUCAAAAUUAUUUACUGUUACCCCAUAUUCAAUUUUGGAUACAUUUUUUUCUUUAGUUUUAUUCCAUCGUUUUUCUUUAGUUGCAAUACGAUACUAUAUUGUAUAUGUUAUUGCUAUGGUAACAUACCGAUACGAUAUUUGUGCAUGUUAAAUGUUGUCUUUUUUGUCAGUAACUUUCUGCGUAUAUAUUUAUUUAACAAUUAUAUAGUAUUGUAACAUUGUAUGAUCUGAUGUCAGAUCUUUUCCCUUAUCAAUCCGUCCAUGAUUUCUAGGGAUUUAGAAUUAUUUGUGUAAAAGUUGUG